RNAcentral lists this ribosomal RNA (420 nucleotides) under uncultured bacterium. RNAcentral describes it as "bacterial SSU rRNA". It matches the Rfam family "Bacterial small subunit ribosomal RNA", at positions 30 to 454 of the family's 1533-position model. The record is from RNAcentral.
AUUGAACGCUGGCGGCAUGCCUUACACAUGCAAGUCGAACGGCAGCGCGGGGCAACCUGGCGGCGAGUGGCGAACGGGUGAGUAAUAUAUCGGAACAUACCCUAGAGUGGGGAUAACGUAGCGAAAGUUACGCUAAUACCGCAUACGCACUAAGGUGGAAAGUGGGGGAUUCGCAAGAACCUCAUGCUCAUGGAGUGGCCGAUAUCUGAUUAGCUAGUUGGUGAGGUAAAGGCUCACCAAGGCAACGAUCAGUAGCUGGUUUGAGAGAACGACCAGCCACACUGGAACUGAGACACGGUCCAGACUCCUACGGGAGGCAGCAGUGGGGAAUUUUGGACAAUGGGGGCGAACCCUGAUCCAGCAAUGCCGCGUGAGUGAAGAAGGCCUCGGUGUAAGCUCUUGUCUGAGAACGGUAGAGAG